UACGGGGGGAGCAAGCGUUGUUCGGAUUUACUGGGCGUAAAGGGCGCGUAGGCGGCCACCGCAAGUCGACUGUGAAAUCUCCGGGCUUAACCCGGAAAGGUCAGCCGAUACUGCGGGGCUAGAGUGCAGAAGGGGCAACUGGAAUUCUCGGUGUAGCGGUGAAAUGCGUAGAUAUCGAGAGGAACACCUGCGGCGAAGGCGGGUUGCUGGGCUGAUACUGACGCUGAGGCGCGAAAGCUAGGGGAGCGAACGGG
RNAcentral lists this ribosomal RNA (254 nucleotides) under uncultured bacterium. Its description in RNAcentral is "partial 16S ribosomal RNA". It matches the Rfam family "Bacterial small subunit ribosomal RNA", at positions 524 to 776 of the family's 1533-position model. The record is from RNAcentral.